UACGUAGGGGGCAAGCGUUGUCCGGAAUCAUUGGGCGUAAAGAGCGUGUAGGCGGUCCGGUAAGUCGGCUGUGAAAGUCCAGGGCUCAACCCUGGGAUGCCGGUCGAUACUGCCGGACUAGAGUUCGGAAGAGGCGUGUGGAAUUCCCGGUGUAGCGGUGAAAUGCGCAGAUAUCGGGAGGAACACCUAUGGCGAAGGCAGCUCGCUGGGACGUUACUGACGCUGAGACGCGAAAGCGUGGGGAGCAAACAGG
Molecule: ribosomal RNA, 253 nt
Filed under: uncultured bacterium
Lineage: Bacteria
Description: partial 16S ribosomal RNA
Rfam family: Bacterial small subunit ribosomal RNA
Source: RNAcentral